AUUGAACGCUAGCGGGAUGCUUUACACAUGCAAGUCGAACGGCAGCGCGGACUUCGGUCUGGCGGCGAGUGGCGAACGGGUGAGUAAUGUAUCGGAACGUGCCCGGUAGCGGGGGAUAACUACGCGAAAGCGUAGCUAAUACCGCAUACGCCCUACGGGGGAAAGCAGGGGAUCGUAAGACCUUGCCCUCUUGGAGCGGCCGAUAUCGGAUUAGCUAGUUGGUGAGGUAACGGCUCACCAAGGCGACGAUCCGCAGCUGGUUUGAGAGGACGACCAGCCACACUGGGACUGGGACACGGCCCAGGCUCCUACGGGAGGCAGCAGUGGGGAAUUUUGGCCAAUGGGGGCAAACCUGAUCCAGCCAUCCCGCGUGUGAGAUGAAGGCCUUCGGGUUGUAAAGCACUUUUGGCAGGAAAGAACCGUCGCCGGCUAAUACCCCGUGGAACUGACGGUACCUGCAGAAUAAGCACCGGCUAACUACGUG
RNAcentral lists this ribosomal RNA (484 nucleotides) under uncultured bacterium. Its description in RNAcentral is "partial 16S ribosomal RNA". It matches the Rfam family "Bacterial small subunit ribosomal RNA", at positions 30 to 507 of the family's 1533-position model. The record is from RNAcentral.